This 1784-nucleotide ribosomal RNA is filed under the name Capsicum annuum. RNAcentral's name for it is "bacterial SSU rRNA". It matches the Rfam family "Eukaryotic small subunit ribosomal RNA". The record is from RNAcentral. Lineage: Eukaryota; Viridiplantae; Streptophyta; Magnoliopsida; Solanales; Solanaceae.
CCUGGUUGAUCCUACCAAUAGUCAUAUGCUUGUCUCAAAGAUUAAGCCAUGCAUGUGUAAGUAAUAACAAAUUCAGACUGUGAAACUGCGAAUGGCUUAUUAAAUCUGUUAUAGUUUGUUUGAUGGUACCACUACUUGAAUAACCGCAGUAAUUCUAGAGCUAAUAUGUGGAACUAAGCCCAACUUAUGGAAGGGGUGCAUUUAUUAGAUAAAAGGUCAACACGGGCUCUACACGUUGUUGAGAAGAUUCAUGAUAACUUGACGAAUUGCACGGCCAUCAUGCCGGUGAUGUAUUAUUCAAAUUUCUGCCCUAUCAACUUUUGNGCCUACCAUGGUGGUGACGGGUGACGGAGAAUUAGGGUUCGAUUUUAGAUAGUGAGUCUGACAAAUGGCUACCACAUCCAAGGAAGGCAGCAGGCGCGCAGAUUACCCAAUCCUGACAUGGGGAGUUAGUGACAAUAAAUAACAAUAUCGGGCUCAAUGAGUCUGGUAAUUGGAAUGAGUACAAUCUAAAUCCCUUAAAGAGGAUCCAUUAGAGGGCAAUUUUAGUGCCAGCAGCCGCGGUAAUUCCAGCUCCAAUAGCGUAUAUUUAAGUUGUUGCAGUUAAAAAGAUCAUAGUUGGACUUUAGGAUGGGCCGUCUGGUCCGCUAAUGGUGUGCAUCGAUCGUCUUGUCCCUUCUGUCGACAAUGCACUCUUGGCAUUAACUUGCCGGGUUGUGCCUCCGCUGCUGUUACUUUGAAGAAAUUAGAGUGCUCAAAUCAAGCCUACGCUCUAUAUACAUUAGCAUGGGAUAACAUUAUAGGAUUUCGGUCCUAUUACAUUGGCCUUUUGGAUCGGAGUAAUGAUUAACAAGGACAGUCAGGGGCAUUCGUAUUUCAUAGUCAGAGGUGAAAUUCUUGCAUUUAUUAAAGACGAACAACUAUGAAAUCAUUUGCCAAGGAUGUUUUCAAUAAUCAAGAACGAAAGUUGGAGGCUCAAAGAUGAUCAGAUACCGUCCUAGUCUCAACCAUAAACGAUGCCGACUAGGGAUUGACGAAUAUUGCUUUUAGGACUCUGUCGGCACCUUAUGAGAAAUCAAAGUUUUUGGGUUUCGGGGAGAGUAUGGCCAUAAGGCUGAAACUUAAAGGAAUUGAUGGAAGGGCACCACCAGGAGUGAAUCCUGCGGCUUAAUUUGACUCAACAAGGGGUAACUUACCAGGUCCAGACAUAAUAAGGAUUGAAAGACUGAGAGCUCUUUCUUGAUUCUAUGGGUAGUGGUGCAUGUCCGUUCUUAGUUGGUGGAGCGAGUUGUCUGGUUAAUUCUAUUAACAAAUGAGACCUCAUCCUGCUAACUAGCUAUGUGGAGGUAUCCCUUCGCGGCCAGCUUCUUAGAGGGACUACGACCUUUUAAGCCGGGAAAGUUUGAGGUAAUAAUAGGUCUAUGAUGCCCGUAGAUGUUCUGGGCCAUACGCGCUCAACACCAAUGUAUUCAAUGAGUUUAUAGCCUUGGCUGACAGGCCCGGGUAAUCUUUGAAAUUUCAUUAUGAUGGGGAUAGAUCAUUGCAAUUGUUGGUCUUCAACGAGGAAUUCCUAGUAAGCGCGAGUCAUCAGCUCAUGUUGACUAUAUCCCUGCCCUUUAUACACACUGUCUGUCGCUCCUACCAAUCGAAUAAUAUGGUAAAAUGUUCAAAUUAUGGCGAUGUGGGCGGUUCAUUACCCGCUACUUCACAAGAAGUCCAUUAAACCUUAUCAAUUAGAGGAAGAAGAAGUCGUUACAAAGUUUCUGUAGGUGAACCUGCGGAAG